RNAcentral lists this long non-coding RNA (3384 nucleotides) under Daucus carota (carrot). RNAcentral describes it as "long non-coding RNA (DCAR_LNC005653)". Lineage: Eukaryota; Viridiplantae; Streptophyta; Magnoliopsida; Apiales; Apiaceae. The record is from RNAcentral.
GUCAUCGUGGCCUUUUGGAGUCCAUGACCCAUCUGAUACUUGCCUCUGCAACUCCUCCUGUUCAUAACAGAAAGAAAUAUUAACAGCCUUGAUAAGAAAUAUUAACAGCCUUGAUAAAUUCACACUAUAACAUAUUAAUGCACUUAUUCUCUGAUUGCUAAUCAUGUGCUGGUUUCAUCUCUUAGUAUUUAAACAGAACGUGGACAGUGAGAUGGCAUAUGCAUGUUUAGACAGUUUGGCUACUUUCUUUGCUAUACAUAAAUAUACAUAAAUAUGGUGCUAAAUUGUCAUGCUGAUCAUUUACUUUUAAUCACUCCAUGUAUCAGAUUCACUGGUCUUAAUAUCAGAUUAGACAGUAUGCUCAAUGUUGUAUAAUUUCAGCCCUGAUCCAAAUAUUAACGAAGAUGUAAAAGAAAGAAAGUCAGUUAUGUUUUUACCAUUUUCUCAAACACCUCCUUUGUCUUGUCAUUUGGAAUGUAAUAACCUCCAUCCUCCUUUGGUUUUGAACGUGCUCUCACCCAAUCAUAACUACGCCCAGUACGCUCAUUCGAUAAAUUUGACGGGUUAACUGAUUCGGAAUCAGUAAAAGAUUUGAUGGGGUCAUCAACAGACCACUUAGUCCUCUUUGCCGCAUAUCCAACUGGCCCUAGGUAAUGUACAUGUUCAUUACAUUUUUGACUUUUCUUUGCUAAAUAUAACUCCUUCCAAUUUUUUAUAUUUAAAACAAAACAUAUAACUUUACUUUUUUAAUCUGUAUCUAUAAAUAAAAUAAUUGCUCACACAUUUGUCUCGACUAGAGUACAAUUUUAUUGAUAUUAUUUAGCUUUAAAAAUACUACAUAUACAUAGUAUUAUGAUAUUAUCUUUACAUACAAAAUCAAGAGAAUAUGGCAUACAUACAAAAUCUAAUAUGUCCAACCUAUAUUAAUUUAAUAUCAACUUAUAAAUUGUUAUUCAAAGUUUUUUUCGAUCUAUAAGUUUAGAACACCCUAUUAUUUACUUGCACUCCAGCUUUUUUACCAACCUUAAGUCUUUAAAUUAAUAAUUGGAAUCAGGGAGUUGAAGCUAAGAUCCGCAGAUUAGUAACAUAAUUACUUGUAUUUGAACUCUUCCUACAGUUAACUCAAUCAAAGUUAAAGUCUCUUCCAUCACACUAAAUUAGUGUGAUGGAACUAGGAACAAGCUGCUUAAACUCCUGUUAACAGGGGACUGAGAGAAGCAGAUAGUAUGUUAAUAAUAUUUCUUAUACUCUAUUCUUUUUUGUAUUUUUGGUAUUUUGUAAUUCCUAUCUCUAAAAAAAACAGAUAUUAUAUAUACAACAAACAAGAAUCCAUAGAAAUUCGAGCAAUGCUACAUGGGACUUUAAGAAGCUAACUAGCAAUAGAUAAUAUAAGACUCUUCAGCAACUAAAAAUAGAACUGUAAAUAUCAAUAUUUACCUGACAGUAGUCUGGCUACAGGAUUGAUGUCAAGAUGCAGCAGAGCAGAAAAUCCCACAGAAAUAUUUGCCUCUGAGAACCUAAACAAGACAAUUGGCACUUAUUUUAGUGUAUAGCAUUAAUGCUUUCAUAAGAGAACCUAGACAAGACAAUUUUAUGCGUCGUCUGCUUAUGAGAUCAGUUGAUAUGCUAUCAAGUUCUUAACUUGGUUAUUUCAGAAUGAGAUCAUGUGACAUGACACCUACUUUGACAUGCUUCAGCUAAUGACCUAAAGCGCUACACAAGUGGGAUAAAAUAAAAGACAAUUACAAACCAAAAUCUCUUGUGCAAACAACAUGGGACAUGUCCAAUUAGUAUGAAGUCUCUCAUCAUCUUUCAACUAAUUUAGCCCAUGUUUGUGCACACAGUUGCCUUCUCCAAUUAUUCACUCACAACAACAAUAUACACAUAGGGAAGAUUACAAUAAGUAUGCUGCUGUCCAAGUUAUCCUGUCUAAGGUAUAUCAGGAUUUCGCGGUACUUAAAUUCUAGACAUUCUUGAAAGAAUAUAGCUUCUGCACUAAAGCAAUAUCAAGCCAAGGCAUAUUAUUUUGCAUGUGCUUGCAGAAAACUACAAUCAACAUAUAUUUGUAAAUCGGCCGAAAUCAGCCCAGGAGGCUCUGGGUUAAAAUAAACAAAUAUCAUGGUAUUAUCAGCACCUAGAUUUCACGACAUAGGUAUACAUAUAAUAAACUACACCCCUGAAGUUUCCUGGACUUCAGCAAAAGCAUUAGUACACCUAAAACACUAAGAUUUGACAGAUUUUUGCAAGAAAUGACUAAUCUUAUUAUCAUAAAGCAAACAUAACAUACAAGUCAGGUAGAAUCCAUGCCGACCUUACCUUACUGAGGCACAAAGUGUUUCCACAAAGACUUUGUGAAUAAAAAGAUAAAUAAAUAAAAGAAUAUAUUUAACUUUAAAAUAAAUAAAAACUCGAGGAGCUGCAAGAAGUCAUAUAGUUACAAGUACGGCAGAAACAAUUGAAAGAAGCUAAUGGCGCAAAAUAUAAAUCCUUAAAAACACUACGAUAUGUAACGCUAGACAUAUUAUAUAAUAACACCAUGACUAAACAAAUCUACAAACAUCAAAUUGACAGAGGCAAUCACAAUCAUAUGUUGAAUAUUGUAACUUGGGAUCACUUGAUUCAUCAAACACUCACAAUUUUGAUAGCAGCAAUAGCUACUGUACAGUCAAAUCAAAAGUGCAUCAUCAACUACAGUACUAGUUUAAACCAACUCAAAUUCACAGCAUUGAUGUUACAGAACUGAACAUACUAGACCAAAAAACCAACAAAAAACUGAAAGAAGCUAAUGGCGCAAAAUACUAACAAAAAACUAAUACUAAAAAACACUGCAAUAUGUAAAGCUAAACAUUUUAUAUAAUCACAUCAUGACUAAACAAAGCUACAAACAUCAAAUUGACAUCAAAUUAAGUACCCGGCAAGGACUUUGUACUCAAAAUUAAGUACCCACAACCAAAAUUAUGUACCCAAUAACCAGCCCCCAACACCUAGCAAAAUAACUCAAACACCCAUCACCGAGCAAUGAAUCAAACACCUGGAAUGCAGUAACAAAAUUAAGUAUAUGGGUAGUAACAAACUUAAGUGCCCAGCAAAGGCUUUCUUCUGAAAAUUCAGUACCCAACAACCAGCCCAACACCUAGCGAGAAAUCAUACACCCAAAUAACUCGAAACGGAAAAGAAAGAGACCUCGAUCCCUCGACAACUAGACAGGAAAAAGAGACGAGAAUGGAAAAGUGAGAAGAGAAUGGAGAUGGGAGAAAGUGAGAUUGACACCUGCAAUGAUUAAUCGAACGAGACGGAAGAGAAGUCGAGAACGAAGUCCAGAGUCGUGUCCGGAGUCUUGGAAGCGCACAACUGCUUUUCGCGCACAACUUCUUUUCUUUUCCU